Molecule: ribosomal RNA, 26 nt
Filed under: uncultured Acaulospora
Lineage: Eukaryota; Fungi; Glomeromycota; Glomeromycetes; Diversisporales; Acaulosporaceae
Description: partial 28S ribosomal RNA
Source: RNAcentral
GACCUCCAGUCAAGUAAGAAUACCCG